Molecule: ribosomal RNA, 497 nt
Filed under: uncultured bacterium
Lineage: Bacteria
Description: partial 16S ribosomal RNA
Rfam family: Bacterial small subunit ribosomal RNA
Source: RNAcentral
GAUGAACGCUGGCGGCGUGCCUAAUACAUGCAAGUCGAGCGAACAGACGAGAACUUUGUUCCUUUGAUGAUAUCGGCAGACGUGUGUGUAACACGUGGAUAACCUCCCUUAAAGACUGAGAACACUUCGGAACACCGGCGCUAAUCCCGUAUAAUAUAUUGAUCCGUGUGGUUCACUAGUGAAAUACGGUUUUACUGUUACUUAUAGAUCGAUCCGCGCCGUAUUAGCUAGUUGGUAAGGUAACGGCCUACCAAGGCAACGAUGCGUAGCCGACCUGAGAGGGGGAUCGGCCAAACUGGAACUGAGACACGGUCCAGACUCCUAAGGGAGGAAGCAGUAGGGAAUCUUCGGCAAUGGGCGAAAGCCUGAAGGAGAAAGGCCGCGUGGGUGAUGAAGGUCUUGGGAUCGUAAAACUCUGUGAUUAGGGAAGAACAGAUGUGUAAGUAAAAAUGCACGUCUUGACGGUACCUAAUCAGAAAGCCACGGCUAACUACGUG